AAUCAACGCUGGCGGCGUGCCUAACACAUGCAAGUCGAACGCGAAAAUGGAGCAAUCCAUGAGUAGAGUGGCAAACGGGUGAGUAACACGUGGGUGACCUGCCUUCGAGUGGGGGAUAACGUCCCGAAAGGGACGCUAAUACCGCAUAAUAUGCUGUCUUUUAAGAGAGAGACAUCAAAGCCGGGGACCGCAAGACCUUGCGCUAUGAGAUGAGCCGAAGUCGGAUUAGCUAGUUGGUGAGGUAAAGGCUCACCAAGGCGACGAUCCGUAGCUGGUCUGAGAGGACGACCAGCCACACUGGGACUGAGACACGGCCCAGACUCCUACGGGAGGCAGCAGUGGGGAAUCUUAGACAAUGGGCGCAAGCCUGAUCUAGCCAUGCCGCGUGGACGAUGAAGGCCUUAGGGUUGUAAAGUCUUUCAGAUGGGAAGA
Molecule: ribosomal RNA, 432 nt
Filed under: uncultured bacterium
Lineage: Bacteria
Description: bacterial SSU rRNA
Rfam family: Bacterial small subunit ribosomal RNA
Source: RNAcentral